This 466-nucleotide ribosomal RNA is filed under the name uncultured bacterium. RNAcentral describes it as "partial 16S ribosomal RNA". It matches the Rfam family "Bacterial small subunit ribosomal RNA", at positions 28 to 507 of the family's 1533-position model. The record is from RNAcentral.
GACGAACGCUGGCGGCGUGCUUAACACAUGCAAGUCGAACGGAAAGGCCCUGCUUGCAGGGUACUCGAGUGGCGAACGGGUGAGUAACACGUGGGUGAUCUGCCCUGCACUUCGGGAUAAGCUUGGGAAACUGGGUCUAAUACCGGAUAGGAACCAUCUUUAGUGUGGUGGUUGGAAAGUUUUUUCGGUGUAGGAUGAGCUCGCGGCCUAUCAGCUUGUUGGUGGGGUAAUGGCCUACCAAGGCGGCGACGGGUAGCCGGCCUGAGAGGGUGUACGGCCACAUUGGGACUGAGAUACGGCCCAGACUCCUACGGGAGGCAGCAGUGGGGAAUAUUGCACAAUGGGCGCAAGCCUGAGGCAGCGACGCCGCGUGGGGGAUGAAGGCCUUCGGGUUGUAAACUCCUUUCGCUAGGGACGAAGCUUUGUUGUGACGGUACCUAGAGAAGAAGCACCGGCUAACUACGUG